GUGGGAGAGAUGAAGAGAGUGGGAGAGAUGAAGAGAGAGGGAGAGAGAAAAAGAGAGAGCGCUGUGUUCGGUGCACUUCUGUGCCAGUCCAUUUGGAGGAGACCAUCACCUCUACCGCCCUCCUCCAGCUCCCUGAUUGAGAGAAUGGACUGCGACAACACGGUGAUCAGCUGAAUAUCAAUCGAUGAUCUAUAGACGACACAGGAGCAGCACAGCCAGACUGCUCUCUCACUAACACCACUGCUCCAUGGCCCCAGAGGAGCACACUGCUUUCUACCACCACAUCUUCCAUCCCUCCAGAGGACCAGGCCCUAAUGAAACAUUCUACUGUAACAAGCUCAUUAGAACAUCUCUGGGUUGGCAGAACUGCAGUUUCAUCUGAGAAUGACGAAAUGGAAUUUCUCCGGCGGCGCGGGACGACCUGGUGGAUCCAUAGGGGGUUCUCCUGGAGAUGCCUUAUCAGCCAUCAGCCAGGGACUUUAUUCAUUUCUAACGGUGUUCACCCAUGUUACGAUUUAUAGAUGGUUGUCCUUGUACAAAGCCUGGUGUGUAACCUCUGAGCUGCGUGUUGAAGCAGCGUGUUUGAUUCGUCUCAUUCAGUCGUUGACCCUGUCUUUUGCUAUCUGUUGUCCCCAGUGCAUUAGGGUAUUAACAAUACGAGGGGUCGCUCUAAGCCUAAGGAGUAGAGAUCAACAUCUAUAUUCAAGGUUAUCAUUAGGCAUACAGAGAUUGAAUUAGUUUAGAACAACCGAACAUCGCUUUAAUUGCGUGAAGAUAAUUUGUGAUUAGGCGUGAGAAAAAAAUGCCCUCCAGCCUCGGAUGUGUUAUAGACCUGGAAGGACAUCAUUUAUUGCUUUCAUACACAUGUUCCAGCCAUCAGAUGGAUGCCCAGACAUUCUUAGCUGGUUCUCAUGUAGCCCAUCUGUCCACUCCCUGGAGUCAGGCAACACAGGAGCCCCGGCGACAUUUGGAGUGAAAUGAGAGUAGGCCUUAAAUGUCAAGUAAAAAAGGCUUGAGAUAGCUUUGACACUAAACGUGUCAAACAGACCCACAGUGUGUGUGUGUGUGUGUGUGUGUGUGUGUGUGUGUGCGUGUGUGUCUGCUGAGACAUGAAGGGAGAGGGAAGACAUGCGGAGUACAGAGUAAAUGUAAUAUGGGAAGAAUAUAAGGAUUAUGUGGAAAGUGUGGAUUUAAGUCAACAUAUAGUAGGAAGGAAAAUGUUAUCAUUAUGGGAAGGGAUUAGGAUGCAUCACAGGAAGUUGGUGGCACCUUAAUUGGGGAGGACAGGCUCGUGGUAAUGGCUGGAGUGGACUAGGUGGAAAGGUAUCAAAUACAUCAAAUAUGGUUUCCAUAUGUUUGAUGCCAUUCCAUUUACUCCAUUCCAGCCAUUAUUAUAAGCCGUCCUCCCCUCAGCAGCCUCCACUGGGGUGCAUGUAGAGCAUAGGACCUACAUUCGGUAAAUGGAGAAGAUAUUGCGUGGACAAAACAGGUGGAAAUAACAUGGAGUGAAUACAGACCCUUGAAUUGUACAAGAACUUAAUGAACACAGAUUAACUACAAUAAACCGAAAGGUGCACUACUUGUAGAAAUGGUGCUAGAUAGCACCAAAAAGGGUUCAAUGGCCCGCUUCAGAUGGCACUCGCAUCAAAUGUCAAGGCACCUUUAUUUUUAGCAAUAAGGACAACUACAGAGUGGUGGUGUGUUCCCCUCGGAUGAAUCUCUAGCCUGUAGGUUACCAACCACAUAUUAAACAGAGGAUAAACCCCAACAACCUCAGUCAUUUUUUUGUUUUAUUUUUAAGAAGAAGGGGAAUCUUUAUCAGUGUUUUCCAUAGAGAGAAAUUGUUUCUGAAAGGCGGUGCCGUGCGGUAGAUAAGGAGUUUAAAGAUGAUGAAUACAAGAAUGAUGCUCAAUUUCAUGCUAAAGUGGGGACACAAAGCCCGACUACUAAUUUAGCCCUGCUGAUAGCAAGCGCUCUGCCGCACCGGACAAAAACCAUCCCAAGAUUAAUAGCCUGUCAGUGCAAGUGGAAGCCAAUAACAUGGAUCACUAAAAUCAAAAGAUACUGGUUUGUGUUGCAGUUGCAGUUGGACAAUAAAUAUGUUUGAGGAGACUAAAUGUUUGGACCAAUUCAUGAAAAUGCACUUUAUGGACAAAAUGCUAUUGCC
Oncorhynchus tshawytscha (Chinook salmon) is the source of this 2167-nucleotide long non-coding RNA. The record is from Ensembl. Lineage: Eukaryota; Metazoa; Chordata; Actinopteri; Salmoniformes; Salmonidae.